CAGCUGCACAUCUUGUUCCUUCUCUCCAAAGAGCUAUGCUUGCUUGAGUUUCCACAUUCUUGUGUACUCCCUGACCACCUGCAGAGGGAAAAGCUGCUGCUACAAGUCGUGACCCGGACAAGACUCAGGAAUCCGCCUGUCCAGUGAUUGUUUUCAGCGGCCGGACUACAAGGGGAAUCAUCUCGGAUGGUGGAUCUGCCAGUUGAUGACCUCCCAACACCAUCAUGAAAAGACACUGGCUGAAACUUACAUCUCUCUUUCUCCUACUCACACUAUGUCUCUAAUUUUAAAUAAACAAAAAGGGGGACAUAUAGAGGCUGGGCCUAGAAGAAAGGAUGGAUGGAUGGAAAGAAUGUGAGCCGAGUGAAUGAAGGGACAGGCGAAAAUGCCUACCUGAAGCUGCUUGUUUUCUGUGUGCAAAGGUCAGCUGUUUUCAUGUACAGAUGUUGUUUAAAAAUUUAGCAAAUGGCCCAGACCUUUGUUCUCUAGCUAAGUCUUUGUUCUAAGAAUUAUUAUCUGACAUCUAUACAUCUUGUUCCUUAACUGCAAAGAUCUAUGCUUGCUUGAGUUUCCACAUUCUUGAGUACUCCCUGACCUUCUGCACAUAUCCUUUGUAAUAAAUACGGGAAAGAACUUAGCCAAGGAGGCCAUUUUCUCCUUUAGGCUUUGGUCUCUCCCCUUCUC
Molecule: long non-coding RNA, 684 nt
Organism: Lemur catta (Ring-tailed lemur)
Lineage: Eukaryota; Metazoa; Chordata; Mammalia; Primates; Lemuridae
Exons: 3
Source: RefSeq, a predicted model, not a curated record